Molecule: ribosomal RNA, 438 nt
Filed under: uncultured bacterium
Lineage: Bacteria
Description: bacterial SSU rRNA
Rfam family: Bacterial small subunit ribosomal RNA
Source: RNAcentral
UACGGGAGGCAGCAGUGGGGAAUAUUGCACAAUGGGCGCAAGCCUGAUGCAGCCAUGCCGCGUGUAUGAAGAAGGCCUUCGGGUUGUAAAGUACUUUCAGUCGUGAGGAAGGUGUUAAGGUUAAUAACCUUAGCAAUUGACGUUAGCGACAGAAGAAGCACCGGCUAACUCCGUGCCAGCAGCCGCGGUAAUACGGAGGGUGCGAGCGUUAAUCGGAAUUACUGGGCGUAAAGGGCACGCAGGCGGUUAAUUAAGUUGGAUGUGAAUCCCCGGGCUUAACCUGGGAAUGGCAUUCAAGACUGGUUAGCUAGAGUCUUGUAGAGGGGGUAGAAUUCCAUGUGUAGCGGUGAAAUGCGUAGAGAUGUGGAGGAAUACCGGUGGCGAAGGCGGCCCCUGGGACAAGACUGACGCUCAUGUGCGAAAGCGUGGGGAGCAAAC